This 240-nucleotide non-coding RNA is filed under the name Enterococcus faecium. RNAcentral's name for it is "T-box sequence". It matches the Rfam family "T-box leader". Rfam says of the family: Uncharged tRNA acts as the effector for transcription antitermination of genes in the T-box leader family. T-boxes are found upstream of many aminoacyl-tRNA synthetase genes and some amino acid biosynthetic genes usually in Gram-positive bacteria. Lineage: Bacteria; Bacillati; Bacillota; Bacilli; Lactobacillales; Enterococcaceae. The record is from RNAcentral.
CUAAACACGAUGAACAGAAAAAAGUAAGCAGCUGAUCAUUACAAGAGAGAUACCGGGUGGUGCAAGGUAUCAAUGAAUGGUUGCCGAAAUGCCUCUGGGAGUGGUCUUGGCGAAACACAGAAAACAGGAAAAACUGUUUUAUAGGAAACAAAGUAGCCAAGAACGUAUAACAGGCGUUAGCUGUCAGAGAUAAUCAUUGAUUAUGAAGAAAAGUGGAACCACGCGGAAAGCGUCUUUUGA